UAUUUUUCCAGUACAAGUGCAAAAUGACCCAAAAAUGAAAAGUGGUUAAACGCUUUUAAAACCCAAAUCGGACAAGAAUUACACAUAAUCGCGGAUUUAUAUAUUACAUUGUAAUUAAGAUCCUUGACAAAAUAGAAUUUAUAUCGAAAUCAAAUCAGAGUACAUAUAUUUAUUAUAUACCUAUAAAUGAAAUAUUGAGAAAUAUUGAUGAAAUAAAACGCUUAUUUUCAUUUUCGUACUUCACUGUAAAAAAGUAUUUUAGUGAAACAUAUUUUCUGUGUAUUCACUGGUGUCUUGCCGGACUUCUCUCUUUCAAAUUUAAGGAAUAGUUUUCUAAAUUGUAAUUUAAGAAUAGAGACAAAUGUAUAUAAUAAACAGAAAAUUCAAGUUUUUUUCUAUAAAUACAUGAUUUAUUUUCAUAUUGUGGCAUGAAAAUUAUCACAUUUCACUCGUGGAUACCGCCACUCAUGAAAUAUUUAUUCUCAUACCACUUGAUGAAAAUAAAUCGUGUAUUUACAGAAAAAACUUGAAUAUCCCCUAUACAUUUUAACAUCUUUUGUAUAUUUGUCCUGCAGUUUAUCUAUGUACGAAUGUAUUUUUUAUGUGUUUAGGUUUUAAGACCACAAUGGAGCUCCUUUAAUUAAAUACUUUAACAAACUUAUAUAUUAUGAACCGUUUUUAACUUUAAGGUCCCAGCUUCUUUCAAUAUUUCAUUUUGGUACAACUUCCAAUUGUUCUUGCGUCUUAAUGCUCGAAUGACGAAUAAAAACUGUUUCGCGCAUGUCAGGUGAUGGUGUGCCAACCACGUUAACUUUUUGGUCCUUCCGAAUUAUCCAGACGGGGAACAAUAGUUUUAUAUAAAUUCAUAGCAAAUUAAAUCGUGUGACUGAAAAGAGAUCGGAAAAUGUUUUGCUGGCGUCUUUAACGGAUUAUUUAGUAAAGUCGUUUUGGUGAGAAUCAAUCAGUGGUUAAACAUACAAGAUUGUCCCCGAGCGCUCAAGAUUCAUGGUCGAGUGAUUUUCCAUGCACUUUACUGUUAGCUACAUUUGCGUGAAGUUUGUGAGAGGGACGUGACGGAAACAAAAGUAUGGCAGAUUUGGAAUUGUUUCUUUUAUUUUAGGACGUCGAAGAACUUAGUAUCAAUCAAAAAUGUAAGUUAUUUUAUAUUUUAUUAAUAAAAACUAUAUAGCCGAAACGUAAUAUUAUUACACAUGAAAAUCGGGAAAGCGUUACUGUUUCUUUUUUAGGAAAAAAUGUAAAUAUUUCACAGAAAAUUCGGGAAAUGUUAUUGUAUCACAUAAAAUUUGUAAAUUAUCAAAUAUUUUUCGUAGGUACAAUUUGUUUGACACAAAGUUAAAUUUUCCAUGAAUAUGGACUUUAAUUAUAAAUUAGCAUUAAUCAUAAGGAUUAUACAUGUUAAACUUUUAAUUUUUCAUGUGACGUUUCGAUCAUAGUUAUUUUUGACCAUUAUGAUAAUUGGCUUAUGAUAUAAAACAAAAUACAGAUAUGAAUAAUUGAUAGUUGGCAUAUGAGGUCUAACAAAGUAUUGACACGGAUGAUUGACGUGUGAUAUGUAAAAAUGAUGGCCAUGUUGAUGACAAUGUUGUUUUGAUGAGGACGUCCAUGGGUGUUACAGUGAUGAUGGAAUGACGUUGUUCAAGUGAGCAUCAGCAGACGUAAAGCAGGAAAUGGCGGAAAGAAUCCUAGCAGACGACAGUUGUCGCGCAGAUGCAAUCAUGCACCAUAUCAGACUGCCCGAAAUUACAGGCUGGCCCAGCUCUACUGUAUACUGGACUCGCUUUCAGCAUGUUACAGUAGGGUUUGAAAAAGGAAAUCAUAACUUUGUAACGUAGCAGACGACAAUAAAUUUUAAAGUGGAAAUUUGCGACUUCCGGUGUGUCUGCUACUCGAUGUUGUGAUCUUAGUUACUUCCCCUGACGUUCAGUAUAUGAAAUGAGGGUCGAGUUUCAGGAUUUGAAAUUAAGAAAGAACGAAAGAUAUGAAAUGAGCACCGGCAAACUGAUCUUGGCAUGUCACAUCCUUAUCACAGAACUGGAACCUACUGAUUAUGAUGAGAAAUACGGAACAUGGUAAAUUGAGCAGGUGAAGGAAUGAAGAAAACACCACCCUCUUGACAGUCAGCAAAAUAACUAUGCUUUGUUACGGUUUGGAACUACUGCAUGCCGUUACAACUUAAUAUGUGACAAAGAGAUUUUAAUCCACCUGAUACGAUUUGGUAUCUUUCUGAAAAUGUCAUGUUCAACUUCUGAAUGGUGUUUUUUUCUGCCAAAUUUAAGAAAUAUAUUACCAUGUAACUGUCUAAUAUUUAUGGCAAUUAUGAAGUAAUAGUGAGUUUUUGGCGUAGUAAUAAAAACCAUAAAAGGUGUUAGCUCGAUUGGAUUUUCUACAUGAACUUAAAAAAAUAACACCUUCAUAAAUGCCUUGAUGUGAACAGAAUAGAAGGGAUAUUUUAUUUGCUUUUUACAUUGUACAUCUUCUAUUUAACAUACUGUGCCGUCAAUAAAUUGAAAUGGCAAUAAUGAGUAUAAUUGCAAUAAUGAAUGAUGCAUUUUUUUGCAAUGUAUAUUUCAAGUGGUGUAAUAAGUAAAUUUUGAUCAGGAAUGUACAUUUAUUAAGACUUAAUAUAUAUGCAAACAUACUGUACCGUUAACAUAAUGGCAAUAGUAAAAUUGCAGAAAUGAAUGAUGCCCAUUUUUUACAAUGUAUAUUUCAAG
Molecule: long non-coding RNA, 2735 nt
Organism: Ruditapes philippinarum (Manila clam)
Lineage: Eukaryota; Metazoa; Mollusca; Bivalvia; Venerida; Veneridae
Exons: 5
Source: RefSeq, a predicted model, not a curated record